RNAcentral lists this ribosomal RNA (497 nucleotides) under uncultured bacterium. RNAcentral's name for it is "partial 16S ribosomal RNA". It matches the Rfam family "Bacterial small subunit ribosomal RNA", at positions 28 to 507 of the family's 1533-position model. The record is from RNAcentral.
GAUGAACGCUGGCGGCGUGCCUAAUACAUGCAAGUCGAGCGAACAGACGAGGAGCUUGCUCCUCUGAUGUUAGCGGCGGACGGGUGAGUAACACGUGGAUAACCUACCUAUAAGACUGGGAUAACUUCGGGAAACCGGAGCUAAUACCGGAUAACAUGUUGAACCGCAUGGUUCAACAGUGAAAGACGGUCUUGCUGUCACUUAUAGAUGUAUCCGCGCCGCAUUAGCUAGUUGGUAAGGUAACGGCUUACCAAGGCAACGAUGCGUAGCCGACCUGAGAGGGUGAUCGGCCACACUGGAACUGAGACACGGUCCAGACUCCUACGGGAGGCAGCAGUAGGGAAUCUUCCGCAAUGGGCGAAAGCCUGACGGAGCAACGCCGCGUGAGUGAAGAAGGUCUUCGGAUCGUAAAACUCUGUUAUUAGGGAAGAACAAAUGUGUAAGUAACUAUGCACGUCUUGACGGUACCUAAUCAGAAAGCCACGGCUAACUACGUG